Molecule: long non-coding RNA, 341 nt
Organism: Lontra canadensis (Northern American river otter)
Lineage: Eukaryota; Metazoa; Chordata; Mammalia; Carnivora; Mustelidae
Exons: 4
Source: RefSeq, a predicted model, not a curated record
AGCUAGAUUGGCUGAGCUACUCAGCUGUCAGUACGUAACUGUCUCCAAUCUAUACAUACACAUGCAGACCUCUUCGGGAAACGAAUUCGAGAAUUUUCGGUCUUCAGAUGACAGCCUUGUGGCUCACCAUGAACACUGUGACAAGACCACGGACGUCUUUGUGAAGAAUCUAGCAAGCAAGCACUACUGGGCCUCUUCCCUUGACUUAAGAAUCACCCUCCAACUCUUCUCCAUUGGGAAGGCAGCUUCAGAGGAGACAUAAAAAGAGAAAGAAAAAUUUCUCCAAGUGAGACUGGUAUUUAUCAGGAACUUAACUUUCCUCAUCUCAACAAAAUGAGGAG